Molecule: ribosomal RNA, 445 nt
Filed under: Streptomyces sp.
Lineage: Bacteria; Bacillati; Actinomycetota; Actinomycetes; Kitasatosporales; Streptomycetaceae
Description: bacterial SSU rRNA
Rfam family: Bacterial small subunit ribosomal RNA
Source: RNAcentral
UUCGGGGUGGAUUAGUGGCGAACGGGUGAGUAACACGUGGGCAAUCUGCCCUUCACUCUGGGACAAGCCCUGGAAACGGGGUCUAAUACCGGAUAACACUCUGUCCCGCAUGGGACGGGGUUAAAAGCUCCGGCGGUGAAGGAUGAGCCCGCGGCCUAUCAGCUUGUUGGUGGGGGUAAUGGCCCUACCAAGGCAGACGACGGGUAGCCGGCCCUGAGAGGGCGACCGGCCACACUGUGACUGAGACACGGCCCAGACUCCUACGGGAGGCAGCAGUGUGGAAUAUUGCACACUGGGCGAAAGCCUGAUGCACCGACACCGCGUGAGGGAUGACCGCCUUCGGGUUGUAAAUCGCUUUCAGCAUUAAAGAAGCAUCUGUGAACGUACCCGCAGAAGAACCACGGGCUACCUGUAUGCCGACCUACCGCGGGAGACACCUACGCUG